CAGUGACUCGGCAGGAGAAAAUGGCGACCGUGUGGGAUGAAGCCGAGCAAGAUGGAAUUGGGGAGGAGGUGCUCAAGAUGUCCACGGAGGAGAUCAUCCAGCGCACACGGCUGCUGGACAGUGAGAUCAAGAUCAUGAAGAGUGAAGUGUUGAGAGUCACCCAUGAGCUCCAAGCCAUGAAGGACAAGAUAAAAGAGAACAGUGAGAAAAUCAAAGUGAACAAGACCCUGCCGUACCUUGUCUCCAACGUCAUCGAGCUCCUGGAUGUUGAUCCUAAUGACCAAGAGGAGGAUGGUGCCAAUAUUGACCUGGACUCCCAGAGGAAGGGCAAGUGUGCUGUGAUCAAAACCUCUACACGACAGGUGAGCGUGGCUCAGCAAUGAGAGACUGGAGGAGGGUGAGGAUCGGAUGUGGGACAGGACUAGGGAGCCUUCCCUGAGGACACUAACUGAGACUGCCCCUGUAACUUGUCCACAGACGUACUUUCUUCCUGUGAUUGGGUUGGUGGAUGCUGAAAAGCUAAAGCCAGGAGACCUGGUGGUGAGU
This 546-nucleotide small RNA is filed under the name Pongo abelii (Sumatran orangutan). RNAcentral describes it as "retained intron". Lineage: Eukaryota; Metazoa; Chordata; Mammalia; Primates; Hominidae. The record is from RNAcentral.